UAUGUUUUAUAUAAUAUGCAUAUUGAAUUUUAACAUUUUAAAUAAUUUUCUUAAAAAAAAACUACGCAUUAUUUAAUGAAGCUUUAAACAUUAAAACAUAUGGCAUAUGGCGAUCACUGACAUAUUUAGGUUCUUGUUACAUUAUUUUAUUAUAUUAUAUUAGUUGUUAUUAAAUCAAUAGUGUGUUGUGAACAUUGUUUAUUUUGUGCUGAGGCAGUAUAGUAUAGAAACACUUAGCUUAUAAAAGAAAUCGAGAAGUAAAAUUUUAUUUCAUUUACUGUUCUACGUUCUCAUUAUUUUUUCAUUAGUUUCUUACAAUCUUGAACCUUCAUAUACCUUAUACCGAUUCAAAAUGGUUUUCUUCAAACAGUAUUUACUAACGCUUACAUGUAUAGUAAUUGUAGUUCAGGUUAUGCCUGCAUCUGCUACAACGGAUGAAGAAUUAUCACGCAAUGCUUGCAAAGCGAUUUUACUAUGCUGUGGAUUUGAAGGUA
This is a long non-coding RNA of Acyrthosiphon pisum (pea aphid), 494 nucleotides long. RefSeq lists it as uncharacterized. Lineage: Eukaryota; Metazoa; Arthropoda; Insecta; Hemiptera; Aphididae. The record is from RefSeq and is a predicted model, not a curated record. The transcript is spliced from 3 exons.